Molecule: ribosomal RNA, 749 nt
Filed under: uncultured Malikia sp.
Lineage: Bacteria; Pseudomonadati; Pseudomonadota; Betaproteobacteria; Burkholderiales; Comamonadaceae
Description: bacterial SSU rRNA
Rfam family: Bacterial small subunit ribosomal RNA
Source: RNAcentral
AUUGAACGCUGGCGGCAUGCUUUACACAUGCAAGUCGAACGGUAACAGGUCUUCGGAUGCUGACGAGUGGCGAACGGGUGAGUAAUGCAUCGGAACGUGCCCAGUCGUGGGGGAUAGCGCAGCGAAAGCUGUGCUAAUACCGCAUACGAUCUAUGGAUGAAAGCGGGGGAUCGCAAGACCUCGCGCGAUUGGAGCGGCCGAUGUCAGAUUAGCUAGUUGGUGGGGUAAAGGCCCACCAAGGCGACGAUCUGUAGCUGGUCUGAGAGGACGACCAGCCACACUGGGACUGAGACACGGCCCAGACUCCUACGGGAGGCAGCAGUGGGGAAUUUUGGACAAUGGGCGCAAGCCUGAUCCAGCAAUGCCGCGUGCAGGAAGAAGGCCUUCGGGUUGUAAACUGCUUUUGUACGGAACGAAAAGGUCUGGGUUAAUACCCUGGGCUCAUGACGGUACCGUAAGAAUAAGCACCGGCUAACUACGUGCCAGCAGCCGCGGUAAUACGUAGGGUGCAAGCGUUAAUCGGAAUUACUGGGCGUAAAGCGUGCGCAGGCGGUUUUGUAAGACAGGCGUGAAAUCCCCGGGCUCAACCUGGGAAUGGCGCUUGUGACUGCAAAGCUGGAGUGCGGCAGAGGGGGAUGGAAUUCCGCGUGUAGCAGUGAAAUGCGUAGAUAUGCGGAGGAACACCAAUGGCGAAGGCAAUCCCCUGGGCCUGCACUGACGCUCAUGCACGAAAGCGUGGGGAGCAAACA